RNAcentral lists this ribosomal RNA (253 nucleotides) under uncultured bacterium. Its description in RNAcentral is "partial 16S ribosomal RNA". It matches the Rfam family "Bacterial small subunit ribosomal RNA", at positions 524 to 776 of the family's 1533-position model. The record is from RNAcentral.
GACGGAGGGAGCUAGCGUUGUUCGGAAUUACUGGGCGUAAAGAGUACGUAGGCGGUUAUUCAAGUCAGAGGUGAAAGCCCGGGGCUCAACCCCGGAACGGCCUUUGAAACUAGAUAGCUAGAGUCUUGGAGAGGUUAGUGGAAUUCCGGGUGUAGAGGUGAAAUUCGUAGAUAUUCGGAAGAACACCAGUGGCGAAGGCGACUAACUGGACAAGUACUGACGCUGAGGAACGAAAGUAUGGGGAGCAGACAGG